RNAcentral lists this ribosomal RNA (492 nucleotides) under uncultured bacterium. RNAcentral's name for it is "partial 16S ribosomal RNA". It matches the Rfam family "Bacterial small subunit ribosomal RNA", at positions 29 to 507 of the family's 1533-position model. The record is from RNAcentral.
AGUGAACGCUGGCGGUAGGCCUAACACAUGCAAGUCGAACGGCAGCACAGUAAGAGCUUGCUCUUACGGGUGGCGAGUGGCGGGCGGGUGAUGAAUACAUCGGAAUCUACUUUUUCGUGGGGGAUAACGUAGGGAAACUUACGCUAAUACCGCAUACGACCUACGGGUGAAAGCAGGGGAUCUUCGGACCUUGCGCGAUUGAAUUAGCCGAUGUCGGAUUAGCUAGUUGGCGGGGUAAAGGCCCACCAAGGCGACGAUCCGUAGCUGGUCUGAGAGGAUGAUCAGCCACACUGGAACUGAGACACGGUCCAGACUCCUACGGGCGGCAGCAGUGGGGAAUAUUGGACAAUGGGCGCAAGCCUGAUCCAGCCAUACCGAGUGGGUGAAGAAGGCCUUCGGGUUGUAAAGCCCUUUUGUUGGGAAAGAAAAGCAGCAGGUUAAUACCCCGCUGUUCUGACGGUACCAAAAGAAUAAGCACCGGCUAACUUCGUG